ACGAACGCUGGCGGCGUGCCUAAUACAUGCAAGUUGAGCGAUGAAGAUUGGUGCUUGCACCAAUUUGAAGAGCAGCGAACGGGUGGGUAACGCGUGGGGAAUCUGCCUUUGAGCGGGGGACAACAUUUGGAAACGAAUGCUAAUACCGCAUAACAACUUUAAACAUAAGUUUUAAGUUUGAAAGAUGCAAUUGCAUCACUCAAAGAUGAUCCCGCGUUGUAUUAGCUAGUUGGUGAGGUAAAGGCUCACCAAGGCGAAGAUACAUAGCCGACCUGAGAGGGUGAUCGGCCACAUUGGGACUGAGACACGGCCCAAACUCCUACGGGAGGCAGCAGUAGGGAAUCUUCGGCAAUGGACGAAAGUCUGACCGAGCAACGCCGCGUGAGUGAAGAAGGUUUUCGGAUCGUAAAACUCUGUUGGUAGAGAAGAACGUUGGUGAGAGUGGAAAGCUCAUCAAGUGACGGUAACUACCCAGAAAGGGACGGCUAACUACGUG
This 496-nucleotide ribosomal RNA is filed under the name uncultured bacterium. RNAcentral describes it as "partial 16S ribosomal RNA". It matches the Rfam family "Bacterial small subunit ribosomal RNA", at positions 29 to 507 of the family's 1533-position model. The record is from RNAcentral.